Molecule: unclassified non-coding RNA, 5754 nt
Filed under: Leishmania donovani
Lineage: Eukaryota; Euglenozoa; Kinetoplastea; Trypanosomatida; Trypanosomatidae
Description: gene:LdHU3.36.2150(CDS-product:STAG_domain_contai ning_protein_putative)
Source: RNAcentral
GCUCGCAACCGUCUUCAGCAUCUUCACCGACACGUGUCUCUGACUUCAUCUUGUGUGCGCGUGCCGUGCUGCGGAUUUCACACACACACACACACACACACACACACGCACACACACACACACACACACGCACGCACGGCGGGGGCGGCGCGCACGAAAACAGCACCCUUGUCUUCAGGUGGAGUCGCGUUUGCAUGUGUAGGGUGCCGCUAUUUGCGUGCUGACCUUUUCGUUGACCCGCCAUCCUCUGCUUUGACAGCCAUCACUCGGAAUUCGCAUUCGCCGAGAAUUGCAUACGCAUACGCGUCCCAUAAAGCCAUACAGAUUUCAAGAAACAGACACCCUCCUUCUCCACCAGACACACAGAGAGAGAGCGCACUACAUCAUAGUAGGUAUUUUUUAUUUUUGUUCCCACUCGCAUAGAAGGUGUCACCGUCUGCCGCGUGCACACCAACCCAUACAUUGCUUGCUGUCUCUCCGCCACCGUCGCACCUGAGCCUCUUCAAGUGACGUAUACUCGGUCCUCGGCGUACCAAGGCACUCUUGACACGACAGCUGGAAAUAGUACGUUGCAGGCGUUCUCGUUCUCCCUGCUCGUGUCUGACCACAAUUCUCAACCACGAGGCAGUUAUUGGCGAUGUCGGCCAAGAAGUCGACCCGCGCGCGAGGCAAGGCUUCUUCACGUGCGUCGCAGUACAGCGGCGAGGCGAAUGCGGUAUCACAGGCGUACGACGUGGCCUCCCUGCCCAUGGACGACGCAGCGGCCACCCCACACCAGUGCAGCGGCCCAUUACCGAAGAAGGUGUCCAAGAAGGAGUCUCAGCAGGACAGCAGUGCAGCCGCUGCGGAAGGAGAAAUCAUUGCAACACCGCAGCCAACCCUCGGCGAGGCAGAGACUGCUUCCCUUGCGGAGUCGACGCUGCAGUUUCUUGUGGAUGGCACCAGUGUCGUAUCGAGUGUCACUGAGGCGAUUCUCUCUGUGUACCGCAGCGGGGCCAAGGAGCGGGCCCUGUGCGCCGUUCUUAACGUGCUGGCAAAGGCGGCCGGCGUCGCCGAAGUGGAGCUGGAUGCGAGCGCGCUUGUCGACGGUGUGGAGAUAGGGCCGCUCCUUGAGGAGCUGUACGCGCGGGUGCCGGAGGACUCGGAGGCGUAUCUGCUCGUGAACAAGGAUGUCAAGUACAAGCGCUUCCGGCGCACCUUUCCGGAGUGGUGCGCGUCGCUGAUGCAGGACGGCUUUGCGUCGGACGUGCUGCUGGACGGGACAUUUUUGCCUAUUCUCUCACAGUGGAUCAUCGCCAUGAGCGAGAGCAAGUCGCGCUCUUUUCGCCACACCGCUACCGUGGCGCUGCUCGCGUUUGUGCAAGCGCUCUCCAGCGUGGCCGCUAACCUGCAGAGUCAGCUUUCGCUUCUCCGCUCGAAGAAGACCAUCAGCGUAGUCCAGAGGAAGCGCAACAAGGUCGUCGAGUGGCGCGAUCACGUCUUCUCGCAGGCCAUCCAUCAGCGGCUGCGCGACAUUGCUCCGGAUAUCCGCCUUGCUGGCUUUCAGGCACUCCGUCGGUGGAUUCUGGAGUAUCCGGAGGAGUACAUGACAAACAGAUACCUGCGCUACCUCGGUAUGCCGCUUCACGACAAACGGCCAGAGCUUCGGGCGGAGGCGCUGGACACCAUUUUGCAGGCCCUCGCCCACGUCCCGGAUGCCUACAGUCGGCUGCAUCUGUUCCUCCAGUACUUCACGAGCCGACUGGUGGAGUUGAGCAACGACGUCGACGUACGCUGCACGGAGCUGGCCAUUCGCGUGGUGGCCAUGAUGGUACGCAGCGAUAGCGACGUGCCAGAGGGAAGCGAGCUGCUGAGCAACGAGAGAGUGGAUCAGGUUCUCUUGACGCUGUUCGACGAGCGCCCGUCCAUCCGCGCUGCCGCGGGCAUCCUGCUGAAGGUUUUUAUCCACUGCCGCACCGCGGCGGAGGAGAGCGAGGCGGCGCAGGUGAGUGCUGCCACCGAGCUGCUGUGCUCCUUCGCCGCCACGCUGCGCUCUCAGUACCGGGAGGCUAUGCCGGAGAAGUACCUGAUCGACGCUCUCUGGACGCCAGAGCGACCGCCGCUGUUGCUGACCGAUUUUCAGCCCAUCCUCGCCGCCGCGCAGUCCGACAAGCCGCUCGACGCUGUGGUGGGCUUGCAAUUGAUGGCGGCGCUGUUGCUGAAGGUGCAGGGCCGGUUGACGCUGGGGCCGCUGCCGAAGGAUGACCGCCGCGGCGGCACGGUCACGGCAAGCAAGAAAAUCCCGCCGGCGGCAAAGGGGGAGGCGGAGGCGUUGCUGCAUCGCCUCAGCGAGGAUGCAGUGCACGCGCUCUCCACCAUUCUGGAAGUGCACUGCGGCAGCGAGGAUGUCCUGCAAGCCGCCGCGGAGGUGUGCGCCGCGCUGGACUUCUCCACCUUUUCUUCGCAGCGUCACCAGGCCGCCCUUUCAGCCCUUCUGAUCGAGUUGCGAAAGGCAACGCUGAACGCGUCGUGCACCGCGCUGGAGAUGCGCGAAAGCCUCACCAAGGCGUGGCAUCAGCUGGCCUUCACGGAGCACCCGUUGCGCAACGAAGCACACGCGCACCUGCAAGAGCUACUCAAGAACGUCAUGGCGCAGUUUUCGCAAGCGGUCAGGGCACCAUCGAGAUCCAGCGAGGGAAACUCGCUGGCCGAUGCCGCGGACUUGUUGCACGCGUGGGCCCGCGUGAACCUCGCUUCAGCUCUCGUUCCGAUGGGGGCUCACUGGCCGCAGAUCCAAACGGCGCUGACGGGGAUUCUAGCGGCUCAGCCAGCGGCCGACGCGUCGCUAGUGAUGUUGGUGGUGGGCGCCGCCGUGCAGUGUCUUCUCUGGCAGGUGCACAGCUCCGCCGACGAGGCGAACCCGGCGCUGUCGCUGUCGCAGCUGAAGGCGCAUGUGCGGGGCGUGGUGGCUGGCGUGUUGCAGUAUCAGGCGGAGACGGAGGAGGAGGCGCAGGCAACCGCCUCUCCCGGUGCCGCGGCAGAUGGCGCUGCCGUGCUGGCUCGUGCGGAGGUGUUCGUCUACCUCUGCGAUCUCCUGGCGCUCCCGUAUUACAAUCUAGCGCAGGCGCAGCAGGAGAUGCUUGUGCGGCUGCUUCGCGGGCUGUACGAGCGAGUCUCGGCAGAGCUGCGUACCGCCCAGGACUACCUGAAGAUGCACGUGCUGGAGCACAGGGCGCAGCAGCAACAGUGCCCAUCCCAAGCCGCUAGCUGGGCGCCCGCGAGCGUGACUGAAUUGGUGGCGGCACGGCGCGUCUGCUCGCGUGUGGAGGCGCUUCAGCUGCGGCUGGUGACGGGCGUCGCCCGCCUCUUCCUUUUUAAGCGGUUUGACGCCAUUUUGGCUGCGCCGUUUUUGUCGCUGUGGACGCACACGUCAUCGAAGACGGUCUCCGAUGCCUUCAAGAGCCUCUUCCACACUCUGCGUGAUCGCGCCGGCGACGACGGUUUUACCCUUGAGCGCGACAUCCUCCUCGCGGCGUACCAUCACUGUGUCGAGGUUGGCGCGACACCGUUUUCUGUGGAGGCGCUGUACCAGAUAGGCCUGAAGCUCUCCUCGGUGCACUUCAUCGGCACCGAUCGGUUGUACUCGUGCUGUCCGGCUAUGGUGCGCUUUGGCGCCGACUUCGCAGCGUCGACAGACCCGCUUCUUCUGCAAGCCGUCUCGUCGUACGCGGGGAAGCUGCGCCCAGCUGAUGCGCUCCACGUGCUGCGGGAUCAGCUGAGUCGGUGCAGCCUGUUUACAGAGGCCACCAACUCGUACGUGCUUGCGUUCGUCACUGCCUUGCGAAAAGCUGCAAAGCUGGACGACUCAACAGCACCCUCGUCGAUAGCUGGCGGGAAGCGUCGACAGGCACUGGCUGGCACGACGCAGCUGGCGGAGGAGGAGGGCAUGCUUAACGCGAUCACGCAAGGCUUGCCUGAUUGCUCGAACGCCGCCACUGCUGCAGCGUCCUCGUCUGCCCUUACUGUUGGCCCAGGCCAGCGUAUCUCGGUCGCGUCACGAGUAGUCACCGCUGACGGCUGGCACGUUCGCGCUGCUGGUGCGAGUCAGGGUAAUGCUGAGGAUGCCGUCGAGGUCGAGGUUAGUCAGGGCCAACGUACCUCCGCCGCCGCCCGUCCCCGUCGCUCUGUUGUGAAUGUUCCCACCACACAGGAGACGGCCCUCUCAUCCCUGGCAGACGGGCUAGACAGUGACGAGGUGUUCGUUGCAACGGAAGAGUACGAGUAGGCACACUCCCUCGGAUCUGGCGUGACCCGACCCUCAGAUGCGCGCACGUACGUAGACGCUGACAGCGGCACGGCAGGGAGUUGAUUGAUGCGCUUACGAUGAGCGCCACAUCUCACUUCCUCCGUCUCGGUUGAGGACAACACGCGUAGGGUGGUCGGGAAGCAGCAGCGGCUUUUUUUUUUGGUGGUGGUGGUGUAGAGAGGGAGGGACAGGCCUGGGCCUGUCCCUGCGGUAGGCACAGAAUGAGGCGAAAUAUGCGUGGAGUAGGGAAACGCAAGCAGAACCGUUGUGGGCCAUCAUAGAAGAACAGUGCUGUUCUCUCGCCCUAGUCGAUCCGGCGAUCCACUGGCUGGAUUGACGUUGGCCGACAUAGAAGUGUGAAAUCUGUGCUAGCGGUGCGCCUGCCUUAGAUGCUGAGUUUUUUUUUUUUGCUGUUGUUUUUUCUUUGUCUUUGUGCUGCCUUUUUCCGUGUGUUUGUGUGUGUUUUUCACACGCGCCAACCCCCCCCCCCCCCAUUUCGGUUUUUCCGCUCAUAUCCUUUGUUUUGUCCUGCCCUCAGAGCAGGAGGGGGACGGAGGCUCCGCGCACCCUCGCCGGCCACGCGCAACAGGAGACGGGAAAACGACGCGAGAGAAGGGGAGAGGUUGCGGAGGGCCAGGGCGGCGGGAGAAGGGGUAGGGGCAGGCGACCGAAAGUCGCCGAGCGGUGCGUGAGGAUGCCCUCCUCCCAGCCCUCUCAAGCUGUGCCUCUACGUGCCUCAUUGCUCAUCUCCUUCGUCUUUAACUAGGCACACAACGUGCUCUCAUGCCUCGACCUCUUCGCGCCCUUUUCUUCUUUGUUUCGAUUCCCCUUUCUUUUUCUUUUGAUACUGCUGUGAGCAUUGCCUCUCUCUGCCAUCCGAGUGGAGGGAGUGGGAGGCGGGGAGGGGGGCAACGCCAGAACAGACUCCGUGACUGAGGGGACCAAAGAGAAGUAAGUGGCACAAACUGCCACGAGGAGGAACUUAAGAACGUGCGGUCGUUCCUUCACAGCAUUCGCGAAGAAUGUGUGUGUGGCCGUGUGUGUGCGUUCGGCCUCUCAAGGCUGGCCUGCGACAUGAAUCACCGCAGGCGCUGCGAGGCUGCCUUGGCGACGUGCUUGGCGUCGCCUCUGCGAUCACCGCGGCCGAUUGUCAAAUCUUGUGGUAGCAUAAAGGCUGCAAAAUUUUUUUUCGCGUUGUGCGUAUGUAUGGAGGGGGGAGGGGUCUACCUUCACUUCGCGAAGCUCCCGCUUAACCCCGCGCCUGAUGUGCCGAACGGCUAAACUUAACCUCUCUUUCCAUGCUUUCCAUGCCCGCUUCUCAACCUUCCUCCGUCGCGUCACUCUUACGCCUUGCGCUUUCGACCGUACCUUCUCUGACAACCGAACAUCUGCGCCCCAUUCCAUCAAACGACCAUACGCACACACACACCGCACGGCCGUGGGGCACGCUAUCGAGAGUCUCUGAAAAG